UAAAUUUUAAGUUAAAAAAACUGUAGGCCUUCAAAGCCUGAAAUGGGUAUCCAAAUUUAG
RNAcentral lists this transfer RNA (60 nucleotides) under Caprella penantis. RNAcentral's name for it is "tRNA-Trp". The record is from RNAcentral. Lineage: Eukaryota; Metazoa; Arthropoda; Malacostraca; Amphipoda; Caprellidae.